CCUACGGGAGGCAGCAGUGAGGAAUAUUGGUCAAUGGCCGGAAGGCUGAACCAGCCAAGUCGCGUGAGGGACGACUGCCCUAUGGGUUGUAAACCUCUUUUAUAAGGGAAGAAUAAAUGCUACGUGUAGCAUGAUGCCUGUACCUUAUGAAUAAGCAUCGGCUAACUCCGUGCCAGCAGCCGCGGUAAUACGGAGGAUGCGAGCGUUAUCCGGAUUUAUUGGGUUUAAAGGGUGCGUAGGCGGUUUUUUAAGUUAGUGGUAAAACGUCGGGGCUUCACCUAGAUUUGCCAUUAAUACUGUAAGACUCGAGUUCAGACGAGGUAGGCGGAAUAAGUUAAGUAGCGGUGAAAUGCUUAGAUAUAACUUAGAACUCCGAUAGCGAAGGCAGCUUACCAGACUGCGACUGACGCUGAAGCACGAGAACGUGGGUAGCGAACAGGAUUAGAUACCCCAGUAGUC
Molecule: ribosomal RNA, 459 nt
Filed under: uncultured bacterium
Lineage: Bacteria
Description: partial 16S ribosomal RNA
Rfam family: Bacterial small subunit ribosomal RNA
Source: RNAcentral